UGGAAAGAUGAAUCAAAGAAGGUAAUAAUCCUGUAGUCGAAAAUGUUGUCUCUCUUGAGUGGAUCCUGAGUACGACGGAGCACGUGAAAUUCCGUCGGAAUCUGGGAGGACCAUCUCCUAAGGCUAAAUACUCUCUAGUGACCGAUAGUGAACCAGUACCGUGAGGGAAAGGUGAAAAGCACCCCGGAAGGGGAGUGAAAUAGAACCUGAAACCGUGUGCUUACAAGUAGUCAGAGCCCGUUAAUGGGUGAUGGCGUGCCUUUUGUAGAAUGAACCGGCGAGUUACGAUUUGAUGCAAGGUUAAGCAGUAAAUGUGGAGCCGUAGCGAAAGCGAGUCUGAAUAGGGCGUUUAGUAUUUGGUCGUAGACCCGAAACCAGGUGAUCUACCCUUGGUCAGGUUGAAGUUCAGGUAACACUGAAUGGAGGACCGAACCGACUUACGUUGAAAAGUGAGCGGAUGAACUGAGGGUAGCGGAGAAAUUCCAAUCGAACCUGGAGAUAGCUGGUUCUCUCCGAAAUAGCUUUAGGGCUAGCCUCAAGUGAUGAUUAUUGGAGGUAGAGCACUGUUUGGACGAGGGGCCCCUCUCGGGUUACCGAAUUCAGACAAACUCCGAAUGCCAAUUAAUUUAACUUGGGAGUCAGAACAUGGGUGAUAAGGUCCGUGUUCGAAAGGGAAACAGCCCAGACCACCAGCUAAGGUCCCAAAAUAUAUGUUAAGUGGAAAAGGAUGUGGCGUUGCCCAGACAACUAGGAUGUUGGCUUAGAAGCAGCCAUCAUUUAAAGAGUGCGUAAUAGCUCACUAGUCGAGUGACACUGCGCCGAAAAUGUACCGGGGCUAAACAUAUUACCGAAGCUGUGGAUUGUCCUUUGGACAAUGGUAGGAGAGCGUUCUAAGGGCGUUGAAGCAUGAUCGUAAGGACAUGUGGAGCGCUUAGAAGUGAGAAUGCCGGUGUGAGUAGCGAAAGACGGGUGAGAAUCCCGUCCACCGAUUGACUAAGGUUUCCAGAGGAAGGCUCGUCCGCUCUGGGUUAGUCGGGUCCUA
RNAcentral lists this ribosomal RNA (1042 nucleotides) under Staphylococcus aureus. Its description in RNAcentral is "partial 23S ribosomal RNA". It matches the Rfam family "Bacterial large subunit ribosomal RNA", at positions 343 to 1393 of the family's 2925-position model. Lineage: Bacteria; Bacillati; Bacillota; Bacilli; Caryophanales; Staphylococcaceae. The record is from RNAcentral.